AGAGCGAACGCUGGCGGCAGGCUUAACACAUGCAGGUCGAGCGCCCCGCAAGGGGAGCGGCAGACGGGAGAGUAACACGUGGGAACGUACCUUUCGGUUCGGAACAACCCAGGGAAACUUGGGCUAAUACCGGAUACGCCCGUAAGGGGAAAGAUUUAUCGCCGGAAGAUCGGCCCGCGUCUGAUUAGCUAGUUGGUGAGGUAACGGCUCACCAAGGCGACGAUCAGUAGCUGGUCUGAGAGGAUGAUCAGCCUCACUGGGACUGAGACACGGCCCAGACUCCUACGGGAGGCAGCAGUAGGGAAUCUUGCGCAAUGGGGGAAACCCUGACGCAGCGACGCCGCGUGCGGGAUGAAGGCCUUCGGGUCGUAAACCGCUUUCAGCAGGGACGAAAUUGACGGUACCUGCAGAAGAAGGCCCGGCAACUACGUGCCAGCAGCCGC
This 443-nucleotide ribosomal RNA is filed under the name uncultured bacterium. Its description in RNAcentral is "SSU rRNA". It matches the Rfam family "Bacterial small subunit ribosomal RNA", at positions 26 to 518 of the family's 1533-position model. The record is from RNAcentral.